RNAcentral lists this small RNA (28 nucleotides) under Bombyx mori (domestic silkworm). RNAcentral's name for it is "ovarian small RNA-11182". The record is from RNAcentral. Lineage: Eukaryota; Metazoa; Arthropoda; Insecta; Lepidoptera; Bombycidae.
ACAUGUGAGAUUGAUCACCAUCUACGAC